GAUGAACGAUGGCGGCGUGCCUAAUACAUGCAAGUCGAGCGAACGGACGAGAAGCUUGCUUCUCUGAUGUUAGCGGCGGACGGGUGAGUAACACGUGGAUAACCUACCUAUAAGACUGGGAUAACUUCGGGAAACCGGAGCUAAUACCGGAUAAUAUUUUGAACCGCAUGGUUCAAAAGUGAAAGACGGUCUUGCUGUCACUUAUAGAUGGAUCCGCGCUGCAUUAGCUAGUUGGUAAGGUAACGGCUUACCAAGGCAACGAUGCAUAGCCGACCUGAGAGGGUGAUCGGCCACACUGGAACUGAGACACGGUCCAGACUCCUACGGGAGGCAGCAGUAGGGAAUCUUCCGCAAUGGGCGAAAGCCUGACGGAGCAACGCCGCGUGAGUGAUGAAGGUCUUCGGAUCGUAAAACUCUGUUAUUAGGGAAGAACAUAUGUGUAAGUAACUGUGGACAUCUUGACGGUACCUAAUCAGAAAGCCACGGCUAACUACGUG
RNAcentral lists this ribosomal RNA (497 nucleotides) under uncultured bacterium. RNAcentral's name for it is "partial 16S ribosomal RNA". It matches the Rfam family "Bacterial small subunit ribosomal RNA", at positions 28 to 507 of the family's 1533-position model. The record is from RNAcentral.